This 354-nucleotide ribosomal RNA is filed under the name bacterium LimA-100-J-197. RNAcentral's name for it is "bacterial SSU rRNA". It matches the Rfam family "Bacterial small subunit ribosomal RNA", at positions 294 to 660 of the family's 1533-position model. The record is from RNAcentral.
GAGAGGGUGACCGGCCACACUGGGACUGAGACACGGCCCAGACUCCUACGGGAGGCAGCAGUGGGGAAUAUUGCACAAUGGGCGAAAGCCUGAUGCAGCAACGCCGCGUGAGGGAUGACGGCCUUCGGGUUGUAAACCUCUUUUAGCAGGGAAGAAGCGAAAGUGACGGUACCUGCAGAAAAAGCGCCGGCUAACUACGUGCCAGCAGCCGCGGUAAUACGUAGGGCGCAAGCGUUAUCCGGAAUUAUUGGGCGUAAAGAGCUCGUAGGCGGUUUGUCGCGUCUGCUGUGAAAUCCCGAGGCUCAACCUCGGGCCUGCAGUGGGUACGGGCAGACUAGAGUGCGGUAGGGGAGA